GAUGAAGAACGCAGCGAAAUGCGAUAAGUAAUGUGAAUGCAGAAUUCAGUGAAUCAUCGAAUCUUUGAACGCACAUUGCGCCCCUUGGUAUUCCGAGGGGCAUGCCUGUUCGAGCGUCAUUACACCACUCAAGCUAUGCUUGGUAUUGGGCGUCGUCCUUAGUUGGGCGCGCCUUAAAGACCUCGGCGAGGCCACUCCGGCUUUAGGCGUAGUAGAAUUUAUUCGAACGUCUGUCAAAGGAGAGGAACUCUGCCGACUGAAACCUUUAUUUUUCUAGGUUGACCUCGGAUCAGGUAGGGAUACCCGCUGAACUUAAGCAUAUCAAUAAGCGGAGGA
RNAcentral lists this unclassified non-coding RNA (336 nucleotides) under soil metagenome. Its description in RNAcentral is "partial contains 5.8S ribosomal RNA, internal transcribed spacer 2, and large subunit ribosomal RNA". The stretch from base 1 to 119 matches the Rfam family "5.8S ribosomal RNA", at positions 35 to 154 of the family's 154-position model. The record is from RNAcentral.